CCUACGGGAGGCAGCAGUGAGGAAUAUUGGUCAAUGGACGAGAGUCUGAACCAGCCAAGUAGCGUGAAGGAUGACUGCCCUAUGGGUUGUAAACUUCUUUUAUAUGGGAAUAAAACAGGGUAUGCAUACCCUUUUGUAUGUACCAUAUGAAUAAGGAUCGGCUAACUCCGUGCCAGCAGCCGCGGUAAUACGGAGGAUCCGAGCGUUAUCCGGAUUUAUUGGGUUUAAAGGGAGCGUAGGUGGAUUGUUAAGUCAGUUGUGAAAGUUUGCGGCUCAACCGUAAAAUUGCAGUUGAAACUGGCAGUAUUGAGUACAGUAGAGGUGGGCGGAAGUCGUGGUGUAGCGGUGAAAUGCUUAGAUAUCACGAAGAACUCCGAUUGCGAAGGCAGCUCACUGGACUGCAACUGACACUGAUGCUCGAAAGUGUGGGUAUCAAACAGGAUUAGAUACCCGUGUAGUC
Molecule: ribosomal RNA, 460 nt
Filed under: uncultured bacterium
Lineage: Bacteria
Description: partial 16S ribosomal RNA
Rfam family: Bacterial small subunit ribosomal RNA
Source: RNAcentral